CACCCAUCAACGCCCGGGUACUACGAGCCCCAGCUUAAAACCCAAAGAACUUGACGGUGUCCCAUCCACCUAGAGGAGCCUGUUCUAUAAUCGAUAGUCCCCGCUAAACCCAACCUUCUCUUGCAAUCAGCCUGUAUACCUCCGUCGUAAGCUUACCAUAUGAGUGACCUUAGUAAGCUAAAUGGUCACAAAACCCCAAUACGUCAGGUCAAGGUGCAGCUCAUGAAAAGGCAAGAAAUGGGCUACAAUUUCUAAUCUAAAACAAACGAAACACUGCAUGAAACUCAGCUGUGAAGGCGGAUUUAGUAGUAAAAAGAAAAUAGCG
RNAcentral lists this ribosomal RNA (325 nucleotides) under Nanorana yunnanensis (Yunan spiny frog). RNAcentral describes it as "partial 12S ribosomal RNA". It matches the Rfam family "Bacterial small subunit ribosomal RNA", at positions 854 to 1354 of the family's 1533-position model. The record is from RNAcentral. Lineage: Eukaryota; Metazoa; Chordata; Amphibia; Anura; Dicroglossidae.